Molecule: long non-coding RNA, 633 nt
Organism: Syngnathus typhle (broad-nosed pipefish)
Lineage: Eukaryota; Metazoa; Chordata; Actinopteri; Syngnathiformes; Syngnathidae
Exons: 2
Source: RefSeq, a predicted model, not a curated record
UCCUCCUCCUCCUCCACGCUCACCCCCACCCUCCUGCUUUUUCGCAAUAUUGACGCAAGGCAAAAUAGUGGAACAAAAGAAACAACUUCCUCGAAGCUUUGCUGAAGCUCCGCUCGCCCGCCACUCAGAAGAAUGGCAGCGUGUUGUCAACUCAACUUGCCGGGGAGGAGGCGGUGAACGGCGGUCGUGGUGUGGAGGGUGUCACCCCAGCGGAGAGGCAAAGAUGCGGAGCGAGCACUCCACUAAAGCAUCCAGUAGCUGCUGCCCCGUGCGAUGAAGAGAACCCAAUCACGUCCACCCGUUAUGUUGUGGCAGUGCCGUAGCAGCACGGAAUGGUUUGUGGGUUACACUGAGAUGCAGGCCAUACCGUGCUGCCACAGUGAAGCCCGACCCGCUCGUCCGGACGGCGCCCGUCGUCGCUCCGCCGCCUCACUUGCAGCGUAUCGGCCGGCGCAGGUCACUUGACUGUAGCAGCACGUAAAUAUUGGAGUGGACUCUCUCAGCCGAAGUCUCCAGUAUUGAUCGUGCUGCUGAAGCAAAGAUGACCACUCGCUCACAAACGCGGCCACCAAAGUCAAUCCUGUUUUUAAACGUAUUAAUGUUACCAUGAAUAAACACACUGGGUAUAAUAUA